UGCCAGACUCCUACGGGAGGCAGCAGUGGGGAAUAUUGCACAAUGGGGGAAACCCUGAUGCAGCGACGCCGCGUGAGUGAAGAAGUAUCUCGGUACGUAAAGCUCUAUCAGCAGGGAAGAUAAUGACGGUACCUGACCAAGAAGCCCCGGCUAACUACGUGCCAGCAGCCGCGGUAAUACGUAGGGGGCAAGCGUUAUCCGGAUUUAUUGGGUUUAAAGGGUGCGCAGGCGGAAGAUCAAGUCAGCGGUAAAAUUGAGGGGCUAAACCUCUGCGAGCCGUUGAAACUGGUUUUCUUGAGUGAGCGAGAAGUAUGCGGAAUGCGUGGUGUAGCGGUGAAAUGCAUAGAUAUCACGCAGAACUCCGAUUGCGAAGGCAGCAUACCGGCGCUCAACUGACGCUCAUGCACGAAAGUGUGGGUAUCGAACAGGAUUAGAUACCCCGGUAU
This 446-nucleotide ribosomal RNA is filed under the name uncultured bacterium. RNAcentral describes it as "bacterial SSU rRNA". It matches the Rfam family "Bacterial small subunit ribosomal RNA", at positions 329 to 793 of the family's 1533-position model. The record is from RNAcentral.